Molecule: ribosomal RNA, 419 nt
Filed under: bacterium
Lineage: Bacteria
Description: partial 16S ribosomal RNA
Rfam family: Bacterial small subunit ribosomal RNA
Source: RNAcentral
UGGGGGAUAUUGCACAAUGGGCGAAAGCCUGAUGCAGCGACGCCGCGUGGGGGAUGAAGGCCUUCGGGUUGUAAACUUCUUUUGCUCUGAACAAGGCAUGCUAAUGGGUGUGUUGAGUGUAGGGGUUGAUUAGCGCCGGCUAACUACGUGCCAGCAGCCGCGGUAAUACGUAGGGCGCGAGCGUUGUCCGGAAUUAUUGGGCGUAAAGGGCUUGUAGGUGGCUGGUUGCGUCUGUCGUGAAAGCUCAUGGCUUAACUGUGGGUUUGCGGUGGGUGCGGACUGGCUUGAGUGCAGUAGGAGAGGCUGGAAUUCCUGGUGUAGCGGUGGAAUGCGCAGAUAUCAGGAGGAAUACCGGUGGCGAAGGCGGGUCUCUGGGCUGUUACUGACACUGAGGAGCGAAAGCAUGGGGAGCGAACAGG